Molecule: long non-coding RNA, 1506 nt
Organism: Piliocolobus tephrosceles (Ugandan red Colobus)
Lineage: Eukaryota; Metazoa; Chordata; Mammalia; Primates; Cercopithecidae
Exons: 3
Source: RefSeq, a predicted model, not a curated record
CACGGUGAAACUCUGUCUCUGCUAAAAAUACAAAAAAUUAGCCGGGCGUGGUGGCGGGCGCCUGUAGUCCCAGCUACUCGGGAGGCUGAGGCCGGAGAAUGGCGUGAACCCAGGAGGCGGAACUUUCAAUUCUCUACAAUGGAGACUGUUUCUUCUCCCUUCUUAGUGAUUACAACUGGUACUUACAUUUUUUUUUUUCUUUCAAGAUCAUGAAGCCAUGUUGUCUCUAUCUUUCCUCUACUUCAUCCUUUACUUAGUAGCACCGAUAGCACUUUUAACUUAUGUCUGGUUAAAAGCCAGACAUCCUGGAUUCAGAUUCUAGCUUGACCACUUAUAAGCGCCAUGAAUGUGGCCUGGUUGAAGAUGGCUGCGUGUAAACCAGAAUGCAAAUCAGCUGGGGCACGUACUACUGGAGGCAGUGUCCCAUGAGAAGGGGCCAAGAACCCGCACCCACCAAAAUCAAGAUGAAAGGCUGAACCUGGAGAGAAAAGGGAGUUGAGCCUGCGGAGGGAGAUGGGAUGCAGCUGAGAGGGGAGCGCCAGUGGAGAGGUGGUGGGAGCCAAGCCAUUAGAGGAAGGAUCACACAAUGUCCAGAGCAACUGAUGUUGCCAUGCAGAUCCCUUGGUUGCUAUGAGAUGGUAACAUCACUCUGCCCCGUGAUUGGCCAGUGUCUCCUCAGCUGCGGUGCCUCCCAGGCUGUGUGGUUCUCAUGUGGGCCACUGACACAGAGCUGUUACUAUGGUGAACUUUACAAUUUCCUUUGAUUGGUGGAUUUCAGAAAUAGGCCAUCAGUGGAAUUCAUUAUAUUCAGCUAAGUAAAAAUGAAAAAUACCGUAACUUUCCCCUCAUCACCAACAUGAAGGAAAUGUGACCCUUCAUGACAUAAUAAAUCGCUAUUAGGUAACUUAGGAUCCUUCAGGGGACUGAAGCGAGAUGAUCUUCCUAUGCCAAAUUUGGGUGGGAAAUAUUUUUCCUGUUGCUUUGAGUUGGUUCUUCAGAGUUAAGAGCAAUGGGCCAACCAGAGCUGGAACUUCAGCGUUGGGAGGAGGUGUGGGAUGGGGCAUGCACUGAAAUGUAAACUCUAUUGUCUCUGGAGUGAUGGGUGAUGCUGGGGGCCUGAGUGUGGAGGGCAGUUUUACAUCUCAGGACAAUGUUUUCUCAGAUGCUCUUCCAGAAAGGAAAGCCAGGAAUACUCCUGGCUGGAGGCGGCAUGCCUGGGGUCAGAGUCAAAGUAGGGUUUGUGCUGUCUGAAUCCUUUCUCCCACUCCCCCAGCCUCGCUCAGCUUCUCCUAGAUGGAUUGGUGAACCCUGGCCAAUUAUGCUUCUGCUCAUCUCUACUCUCGGCAAAUAGGAAAAGAGAGUGAAGGACUGAGUUUUAACUCUUCUAAUUUUGUAGCCUGACUCUCUAUAAGAAAAAGUGGGAGAAAGACCGAUGAAACCGAGAGAAGACGUGAAUUAUUUUAAGUGCAUCAGAUCUACCUUUCUAACAAGUCUUGUUUGGAGUGA